GUUACCACUCUUAAGUUAAUUGAGUAAGCACCAUUUCCCUUAACUUGCCAAGCUGUUGCCUUUAUUUAAAACACUUGUGUGGAGGUCAACGACCAGCAGGUGGUGCUGUGGGACAGCUAACUAGAGGGAAGGCAUCAAGGUCAGAGCUGAGGGUGUGAGUAAUCAGCAGAAGAGUCAAAUAACUGUGGAGAGAAAACCAUAUUUGAUUCAGUGUGUCAGAUUCUGAUAACUCUAUCCCCCGGCUCUGCGGCAGCUGAUGAAUUAAACCCUCUAUAACACAGAAACCAAAGGGAGGAGAAGGAUGGACAGACUGGACAAACAGACUCCCACGAGGCCCCACUGUUUCCUUCUUCCGGCUUUAUCAUUACCACCUGGAUUGUUAGGAAAUGAGGAGGAGGUAGACGCCGAAGGAGAGACAUCUACAGCCGGCGCUGCUUCUUAAAAUAAUGUCAGUCUUCUUGAGGCAGACAAACUGCUCAAUUGGCUUUUAAAGAGCGAGGACGGAAUUUAAUGUUUGUCCCAAAACGCUUUAUUUACCUGCAUUUACUUGAUAAUGGCGGGAAGAAAAAAACACACAACAAGGCUUCUCGCGCUGAUUGACAUUCAGUGCUGCUCAUCACUCUGUUCAUUAUUAUUAUUUCCCUUCUCCCCCCUCGCAGCUUUAAC
Molecule: long non-coding RNA, 666 nt
Organism: Acanthopagrus latus (yellowfin seabream)
Lineage: Eukaryota; Metazoa; Chordata; Actinopteri; Spariformes; Sparidae
Exons: 2
Source: RefSeq, a predicted model, not a curated record